CCUACGGGAGGCAACAGUGAGGAAUAGUGGGCAAUGGGCGCGAGCCUGAACCAGCCAAGGCGCGUGAGGGAUGAAGGUGCUAUGGAUGGUAAACCUCUUUUAUAAGGGAAUAAAGUGUGGGACGUGUCCGAUUUUGUAUGUACCUUAUGAAUAAGGAUCGGCUAACUCCGUGCCAGCAGCCGCGGUAAUACGGAGGAUCCGAGCUUUAUCCGGAUUUAUUGGGUUUAAAGGGUGCGUAGGCGGCCUUUUAAGUCAGCGGUGAAAGUCUGUGGCUCAACCAUAGAAUUGCCGUUGAACCUGGCGGGCUUGAGUAUGUUUGAGGCAGGCGGAAUGCGUGGUGUAGCGGUGAAAUGCUUAGAUAUCACGCAGAACCCCGAUUGCGAAGGCAGCCUGCCAAGCCAUGACUGACGCUGAUGCACGAAAGCGUGGGGAUCAAACAGGAUUAGAUACCCGGGUAGUC
RNAcentral lists this ribosomal RNA (460 nucleotides) under uncultured bacterium. RNAcentral's name for it is "partial 16S ribosomal RNA". It matches the Rfam family "Bacterial small subunit ribosomal RNA", at positions 338 to 795 of the family's 1533-position model. The record is from RNAcentral.